AUGGCUGCUCCGGCGAAGGCUUCGUGGAUGGUGGCCAUGAGCGUGGGCGCGGUGGAGGCGCUCAAGGACCAAGCCGGGCUCUGCCGCUGGAACUACGCACUCGGGUCCAUCCACCGAGCUGCCAAGGCCAACGUCCGCGGUGGUGUCUCGCAGGGCACCAAGCAUCUUCCGGUCUCCGCGCCGACGGUGACGGAGAAGGCCGAGGAGGGGCUGAGGACGGUGAUGUACCUCAGCUGCUGGGGCCCAAAUUAG
RNAcentral lists this ribosomal RNA (252 nucleotides) under Triticum aestivum (bread wheat). Its description in RNAcentral is "partial small subunit ribosomal RNA". Lineage: Eukaryota; Viridiplantae; Streptophyta; Magnoliopsida; Poales; Poaceae. The record is from RNAcentral.